GACGAACGCUGGCGGCGUGCCUAAUACAUGCAAGUCGAGCGAAUGAUGAGGAGCUUGCUCCUCUGAUUUAGCGGCGGACGGGUGAGUAACACGUGGGCAACCUGCCCUGUAGACUGGGAUAACUUCGGGAAACCGGAGCUAAUACCGGAUAAUUCUUUUAGCCUCAUGGCUUUAAGCUAAAAGGCGCUUCGGCGUCACUACAGGAUGGGCCCGCGGUGCAUUAGCUGGUUGGUGGGGUAAUGGCCUACCAAGGCAACGAUGCAUAGCCGACCUGAGGGGGUGGACGGCCACAUUGGGACUGAGAAACGGCACAAACGCCUCCGGGGUGCAGCAGUAGGGAAUCUUCCACAAUGGACGAAAGUCUGAUGGAGCAACGCCGCGUGAGUGAUGAAGGUUUUCGGAUCGUAAAACUCUGUUGUAAGGGAAGAACAAGUGCGUUAGGUAAUGAACGCACCGUGACGGUACCUUAUUAGAAAGCCACGGCUAACUACGUGCCAGCAGCCGCCGUAA
RNAcentral lists this ribosomal RNA (510 nucleotides) under uncultured bacterium. RNAcentral describes it as "partial 16S ribosomal RNA". It matches the Rfam family "Bacterial small subunit ribosomal RNA", at positions 28 to 523 of the family's 1533-position model. The record is from RNAcentral.